UAGGCUGACUGUUUUCAGGGCCAUGAGAC
This 29-nucleotide non-coding RNA is filed under the name Mus musculus (house mouse). The record is from RNAcentral. Lineage: Eukaryota; Metazoa; Chordata; Mammalia; Rodentia; Muridae.